GGGGUAUUGGCGCAAUGGUAGCGCGUGGCUCUCCUAUUUUAUUUAGUUUUCCUCUAACUUACGGGAGGAAUCAAAGCCAAGGUUUUGGGUUCGAGUCCCAAGUAUCUCG
This 109-nucleotide transfer RNA is filed under the name Gomphillus americanus. It matches the Rfam family "tRNA". From Rfam's summary of the family: Transfer RNA (tRNA) molecules are approximately 80 nucleotides in length. Their secondary structure includes four short double-helical elements and three loops (D, anti-codon, and T loops). Lineage: Eukaryota; Fungi; Ascomycota; Lecanoromycetes; Ostropales; Graphidaceae. The record is from Rfam by way of RNAcentral.